CUAUCUGCAGUCGAGCGAACUGAUUAGAAGCUUGCUUCUAUGACGUUAGCGGCGGACGGGUGAGUAACACGUGGGCAACCUGCCUGUAAGACUGGGAUAACUUCGGGAAACCGAAGCUAAUACCGGAUAGGAUCUUCUCCUUCAUGGGAGAUGAUUGAAAGAUGGUUUCGGCUAUCACUUACAGAUGGGCCCGCGGUGCAUUAGCUAGUUGGUGAGGUAACGGCUCACCAAGGCAACGAUGCAUAGCCGACCUGAGAGGGUGAUCGGCCACACUGGGACUGAGACACGGCCCAGACUCCUACGGGAGGCAGCAGUAGGGAAUCUUCCGCAAUGGACGAAAGUCUGACGGAGCAACGCCGCGUGAGUGAUGAAGGCUUUCGGGUCGUAAAACUCUGUUGUUAGGGAAGAACAAGUACAAGAGUAACUGCUUGUACCUUGACGGUACCUAACCAGAAAGCCACGGCUAACUACGUGCCAGCAGCCGCGGUAAUACGUAGGUGGCAAGCGUUAUCCGGAAUUAUUGGGCGUAAAGCGCGCGCAGGCGGUUUCUUAAGUCUGAUGUGAAAGCCCACGGCUCAACCGUGGAGGGUCAUUGGAAACUGGGGAACUUGAGUGCAGAAGAGAAAAGCGGAAUUCCACGUGUAGCGGUGAAAUGCGUAGAGAUGUGGAGGAACACCAGUGGCGAAGGCGGCUUUUUGGUCUGUAACUGACGCUGAGGCGCGAAAGCGCGGGGAGCAAACAGGAUUAGAUACCCUGGUAGUCCACGCCGUAAACGAUGAGUGCUAAGUGUUAGAGGGUUUCCGCCCUUUAGUGCUGCAGCUAACGCAUUAAGCACUCCGCCUGGGGAGUA
Molecule: ribosomal RNA, 850 nt
Filed under: uncultured bacterium
Lineage: Bacteria
Description: bacterial SSU rRNA
Rfam family: Bacterial small subunit ribosomal RNA
Source: RNAcentral